Long non-coding RNA from Bombus huntii, 1219 nucleotides. RefSeq lists it as uncharacterized. NCBI's taxonomy places the organism in Eukaryota, Metazoa, Arthropoda, Insecta, Hymenoptera, Apidae. The transcript has 2 exons. The record is from RefSeq and is a predicted model, not a curated record.
AAAAAAUAUAUAUUAGUAAUUAAUUACUUAUUUAAGAUAUUCUUGUUAAACAGAAAUUUUUUUAAUUCAUAAAACUUGAUAAUUGUUGAGUAUUAAUAAGUUUAAUUUCAUUAAUUUGAUUUAUUUUGAAUGUUAAUUUGUUCUCAUUUGAUACGCGUUGUAACCGUUAACAUAAAAUUAAGGAACACUGGAUUUGGAACAUUCCUUUAAAUACGUUUGUAAUGGAACUUCAUUCAACGGAGCUGUCAAUAGAAUGUAAAAAGCGGUUAAUUUCCAGGUAGGACUCUUAAUAAUAAUUAAAGAUAUAAUAGACUAUUGUCCAAAAACUACAUAAUGGAGAUAGAGAAUUCGUGUCUGUUUAAUUAUAUAUUUAUCGGAAUAAUAUUUGAUAGCAUUUAUAGCAUAAUAAGCUACAUAUAGCACAAUUUUUGUGAUACGAUUAACAAUAACAUAAAUUAAAGGCUUUACAUACAUUGUAUACAAGAGUAUCAAAUGUCAUAUGUAAUAUCAAUAUAGAAGAUACGCGAAGGUUCGAACUUGCAGCCUUUAAUUUGUAUUGCUAAUCGCGCGUUAUAAAAUGUUCGCGCCCUUUCAGUCAUUGAAAUGACAGUGAGAAUACUUUUAAAUAUUUCUUAUAUUAUUUAAAAUUAUACACAUUUUAAUCAGACGUCACAUAUAUUGAGUUAUCGUGUUUUCCUACACGUUAAUUCCUUUUUUUGUGCUUGGAAAAUUCAACUUCCAGAAAAUUUUAUACAUUUCUCGAUUACUGUUCGCCCCCCUCCACUAUGUUUUCGAACCAUACAAAUAUGUAUAUAUGUAUUCGCGCGUAACUUCGAUUGAAUUUGAAAGAAACUCUUGGUGUCGGUAAUCUCAGUGUUAGCCUUUGACGCUUGUUGACGUACAUAGAUAUGUAUGUAUUUUAUUGUGUUCAAAGAGUAAGAGUGAGAGCAAUUAUUAAAUCUCUUACAAAUCAAGAAAAGGAAGUAAAAAUUUGAAGUGGCAAGAUUAUAUUUUAGAGGUUAAAAUAGAAGUGGAACAAUGUUAAUACUACUGAUGCUAUUCUCCAACUGAUGGUUCCUUAAGGUGCUGACGUUUUGGUGAUAAGACCUCGCUGCCGAGGUUUUCAAAGAUUCCAGCCAUAUGAGAGAGACGUAGAUUGCAAAUCUAGUGGAAUAUCUACUGUACAAGCUGAUAAAAAUAAAUUUCAUGUUACCCUGGA